This is a long non-coding RNA of Pantherophis guttatus, 347 nucleotides long. RefSeq lists it as uncharacterized. The record is from RefSeq and is a predicted model, not a curated record. Lineage: Eukaryota; Metazoa; Chordata; Lepidosauria; Squamata; Colubridae.
AGAAACUGCAGUAAAACCUACAUAUCCAGAAUUGUGCCAGCAACCAUACCCAUAUCCUGCUCCCAUAAAGAAGUACCAGCAAAACCAUAGGAGCCAGGAAAAGGACAAAAUGGAGUGCAAAACAGAGUGGAGAUGGAAUUUUGUAGCUACCAAAGAUCAACCUGUGUAGGUAGAAUAAAAAGAAUAUAGUUCCAGAAAAGUGCUUAGGAUUGCAAGACUCCAGAACAGGAACCGUUAUGGCAAGGUGAAUCUUGCUUUAUCUUUCUCUUCGUAAAGGAAUAUGCUACAAACAAGAAUUUGAAUUCAGACAGUUGCGAAACUUGAACUCAUUAAACUGAACAACUCCU